RNAcentral lists this ribosomal RNA (241 nucleotides) under Streptomyces lavendulocolor. RNAcentral describes it as "partial 16S ribosomal RNA". It matches the Rfam family "Bacterial small subunit ribosomal RNA", at positions 721 to 954 of the family's 1533-position model. Lineage: Bacteria; Bacillati; Actinomycetota; Actinomycetes; Kitasatosporales; Streptomycetaceae. The record is from RNAcentral.
GCGGAUCUCUGGGCCAUUACUGACGCUGAGGAGCGAAAGCGUGGGGGAGCGAACAGGAUUAGAUACCCUGGUAGUCCACGCCGUAAACGUUGGGAACUAGGUGUUGGGCGACAUUCCACGUCGUCGGUGCCGGCAGCUAACGCAUUAAGUCCCCGCCCGGGGGAGUACGGGCCGCAAGGCUAAAACUCAAAGGAAUUGACGGGGGGCCCGCACAAGCAGCGGAGCAUGUGGCUUAAUUCGA